CCUACGGGUGGCAGCAGUGAGGAAUAUUGGACAAUGGACGAAAGUCUGAACCAGCAAAGUAGCGUGAAGGAUGACUGCCCUAUGGUUUGUAAACUUCGUUUAUAUGGGAAUAAAAUGGUCAACGUGAGGGAUUAUGUAUGUACCAUAUGAAAAAGGAUCAGCUAACUCCGUGCCAGCAGCAGCGGUAAUACGGAGGAUCCGAGCGUUAUCCGGAUUUAGUGGGUUUAAAGGGAGCGUAGGUGGAUUGUUAAGUUAGUUGUGAAAGUUUGCGGCUCAACCGUAAAAUUGCAGUUGAAUCUGGCAGACUUGAGUACAGUAGAGGUGGGCGGAAGUCGUGGUGUAGCGGUGAAAUGCUUAGAUAUCUCGAAGAACUCCGAUUGCGAAGGCAGCUCACUGGACUGCAACUGACACUGAGGUUCGAAAGUGUGGGUAUCAAACAGGAUUAGAUACCCUUGUAGUC
This 460-nucleotide ribosomal RNA is filed under the name uncultured bacterium. RNAcentral's name for it is "partial 16S ribosomal RNA". It matches the Rfam family "Bacterial small subunit ribosomal RNA", at positions 338 to 795 of the family's 1533-position model. The record is from RNAcentral.